Molecule: small nucleolar RNA, 138 nt
Organism: Tachyglossus aculeatus (Australian echidna)
Lineage: Eukaryota; Metazoa; Chordata; Mammalia; Monotremata; Tachyglossidae
Source: RefSeq, a predicted model, not a curated record
CCCCUCUCAGUACUGCAUCUGGAGGGUUUCCAUUACUCUACCAGUCUCAGCUGUGGGAGGGAGAGCCAAGCAGAGGCAUAACCAUUCCAUUCCUUACUUGGGCAGUGGCUAGUAAGUGGAAGACAAUCUGCUACAAGU